UCUGGUGGCGAUAGCGAAGAGGUCACACCCGUUCCCAUGCCGAACACGGAAGUUAAGCUCUUCAGCGCCGAUGGUAGUUGGGGGCUUCCCCCUGUGAGAGUAGGACGCCGCCAGGC
This 116-nucleotide ribosomal RNA is filed under the name Bacillus licheniformis. RNAcentral also lists the same sequence under 1 other name. Lineage: Bacteria; Bacillati; Bacillota; Bacilli; Caryophanales; Bacillaceae. The record is from RNAcentral.